RNAcentral lists this ribosomal RNA (408 nucleotides) under Eriocheir japonica (Japanese mitten crab). RNAcentral's name for it is "partial 16S large subunit ribosomal RNA". It matches the Rfam family "Bacterial large subunit ribosomal RNA", at positions 1918 to 2597 of the family's 2925-position model. The record is from RNAcentral. Lineage: Eukaryota; Metazoa; Arthropoda; Malacostraca; Decapoda; Varunidae.
UAGUAUUAAAUGGCCGCGGUAUUUUGACCGUGCAAAGGUAGCAUAAUCGUUAGUUUUUUAAUUGGAAUCUUGUAUGAAUGGUUGGACAAAAGAAGAUCUGUCUUUGUAUUGCUUAUUGAAUUUUACUUUUAAGUGAAAAGGCUUAAAUGUAUUAAAGGGACGAUAAGACCCUAUAAAGCAUUUUAUUGGGGCGAUAAGAGUAAAAUGAUUAACUGCUUAACAUUAAGUACACUUAUAUGUGUAAUGAUCCUAAUUAAAGAUUAAAAGUUUAAGUUACUUUAGGGAUAACAGCGUUAUUUUUCUUAAGAGUACUUAUCGAAAGAAAAGUUUGCGACCUCGAUGUUGAAUUAAAAUAUCUUUAUAAUUGUAGCAGUUAUAUAAGUAGGUCUGUUCGACCUUUAAAAUUUU